RNAcentral lists this ribosomal RNA (1394 nucleotides) under uncultured bacterium. RNAcentral's name for it is "bacterial SSU rRNA". It matches the Rfam family "Bacterial small subunit ribosomal RNA". The record is from RNAcentral.
GAUUCUGGCUCCAGGAUGAACGCUGGCGGCGUGCUUAACACAUGCAAGUCGAACGGGAUCCAUCAGGCUUUGCUUGGUGGUGAGAGUGGCGAACGGGUGAGUAAUGCGUGACCGACCUGCCCCAUACACCGGAAUAGCUCCUGGAAACGGGUGGUAAUGCCGGAUGCUCCGACUCCUCGCAUGGGGUGUCGGGAAAGAUUUCAUCGGUAUGGGAUGGGGUCGCGUCCUAUCAGGUAGUCGGCGGGGUAACGGCCCACCGAGCCUACGACGGGUAGCCGGCCUGAGAGGGCGACCGGCCACAUUGGGACUGAGAUACGGCCCAGACUCCUACGGGAGGCAGCAGUGGGGAAUAUUGCACAAUGGGCGCAAGCCUGAUGCAGCGACGCCGCGUGCGGGAUGACGGCCUUCGGGUUGUAAACCGCUUUUGAUCGGGAGCAAGCCUUCGGGUGAGUGUACCUUUCGAAUAAGCACCGGCUAACUACGUGCCAGCAGCCGCGGUAAUACGUAGGGUGCAAGCGUUAUCCGGAAUUAUUGGGCGUAAAGGGCUCGUAGGCGGUUCGUCGCGUCCGGUGUGAAAGUCCAUCGCUUAACGGUGGAUCUGCGCCGGGUACGGGCGGGCUGGAGUGCGGUAGGGGAGACUGGAAUUCCCGGUGUAACGGUGGAAUGUGUAGAUAUCGGGAAGAACACCAAUGGCGAAGGCAGGUCUCUGGGCCGUUACUGACGCUGAGGAGCGAAAGCGUGGGGAGCGAACAGGAUUAGAUACCCUGGUAGUCCACGCCGUAAACGGUGGAUGCUGGAUGUGGGGCCCGUUCCACGGGUUCCGUGUCGGAGCUAACGCGUUAAGCAUCCCGCCUGGGGAGUACGGCCGCAAGGCUAAAACUCAAAGAAAUUGACGGGGGCCCGCACAAGCGGCGGAGCAUGCGGAUUAAUUCGAUGCAACGCGAAGAACCUUACCUGGGCUUGACAUGUUCCCGACCGCUCCAGAGAUGGGGCUUCCCUUCGGGGCGGGUUCACAGGUGGUGCAUGGUCGUCGUCAGCUCGUGUCGUGAGAUGUUGGGUUAAGUCCCGCAACGAGCGCAACCCUCGCCCUGUGUUGCCAGCACGUCAUGGUGGGAACUCACGGGGGACCGCCGGGGUCAACUCGGAGGAAGGUGGGGAUGACGUCAGAUCAUCAUGCCCCUUACGUCCAGGGCUUCACGCAUGCUACAAUGGCCGGUACAACGGGAUGCGACACGGCGACGUGGAGCGGAUCCCUGAAAACCGGUCUCAGUUCGGAUUGGAGUCUGCAACCCGACUCCAUGAAGGCGGAGUCGCUAGUAAUCGCGGAUCAGCAACGCCGCGGUGAAUGCGUUCCCGGGCCUUGUACACACCGCCCGUCAAGUCAUGAAAGUGGG